Long non-coding RNA from Aegilops tauschii subsp. strangulata, 1385 nucleotides. RefSeq lists it as uncharacterized. The record is from RefSeq and is a predicted model, not a curated record. Lineage: Eukaryota; Viridiplantae; Streptophyta; Magnoliopsida; Poales; Poaceae.
CGAUUUAUUUUGGCAUGUCCUGAUUUUUCUCGUAUCACCUCAGCCGCCUCCCUCUCGCCUCACGGAAAGAAAGCACGCACCCACCUAGCACUAUCCCCAUCACGAUCUGGCCGCCGCCCCAAUGAUCGACAUCGCAUUCGGCGCCGCCCGUCCCCUCCCUCUCCCGUCUCGCGCUUCUGUCUUCAAUCUCCCGUCGGACGUGCUUGUGCCUCCCAUCUCGCAUCGGCGACCACUCGCCAGCGACGCCCCGAGGCCACCGACGCGGGGAACGAAGGAUUGGUUGCCGCUGUUCGGAGCUACUUCGUCGAUGUCGCCAAUGGGGGCUUUGGCAAGUGCUCCUGGCCUUCCGCCGCCACCGCCGGGCCUGCUUAUCGGGACGCCGUCGAAUCCUCUGUCGCCAGCCCACGUCCCAGUUCUCCCCUUCCUCUCAUAGUUCAUCUAGCCCCUACAUCCUCCUCUGAUUCUCCAGGUUAGUCGCGAGGGACUCAUAAUCUGCAAGUUCCUGAUUUCGAAUUGUUUGUGUGUUGUUGUGUUGCAGGCACUUCACGGAUGAGAUUUUCUCAUGUUGUUCUUGCCUCCUCAUGUGGUGCCACCUCCUCACGUCGUGCAGCCUCCACAGUCCACACGCGAAGCCACCGAGGUCGGAAUCAGACGUGCCAGUCCAUGCAUCACGUUCUCAUGCCAUGCCCAAGCCAGCAGGAGCGGCAGCAACAACAGGGUGUCGUACAUUGACCUGGAGGUUGUCCCGAGGGGCACAACACCGCCAGUGGAGAUGUAUCAGGUGAAGAAGGAGGACAUGGGGACGAAGGUGGUGGUGUGGUAGAUGGCGGAGGUGGACAAGAUGAAAAAUUGGUUCGAGAGGGGGGUGGUUGUCAUCAACGACUGGGAGACGGAGCAAGUAGACAAGGCCUUUGCCUGGCUCCACAAGAUUGAGGUUCACUUUGGAAUUUGUCUCGCUUUGAUGGAGCUUGAAUUCUUCACCACACUACGACUGAUAUUCCUGGAAUUUGUGAUCACAAUGUGUGCUUCCAUUGUCAUGCAGCUCAGCCUAGGACUGAGCACGGAUGCCACUGUGUAUUGCUAAAAUUUACAGGAAAUGCAGAAAAUAGAGUUACAGCAAGUGAGCAAUGCACAGUUCCCAAAAUGUGUACCGCAUUGUUAUCGAGAUAAUUAUAUGUUGUUGUAUGGAGAGAAUUUGAGUGGGAGUGAUUGCAGCAUUGGGAGAAGGCACGCGAUACAUCCUGUUGGCACCCUCAAAAAAUGGCUUUAGAGUCUAAGGUAUAAUGACAGGGAAUAAGGUGUAGGAUCGUUUCCUAGAAAAUUCUAUUCAAUUUACAUGGUUGUGAACCAUAGAGUUUCUUAUUUUAUUUAAGGAUUUUGACGCA